CUUGAUUAAAAAAUAAUUUACAAUAUAAUAAGCUUGUUAAUUUAAAGAUAACAUAAUGUUAUUUAUCAAAUGAACAAUUAGGUCACGAAAUGGACCCAAGAUGUUGUUCCCACUAAAAGAUCUAGUCAUUUUCAAGUAUCAAAUGCUCAAUGCUCCGGAUAUGAAAAGAACCCCAUUUACAAUUGUAGAGUGAAACUGAGGGAUAAGAUUCCAUUCGCCUGUGUAGGAUUGAUGUGAUAACACCCCAUUAACGUAUUCCAAUAUGAUAAAAUAAAAUUUUGGAAAUAUGUAUCUUAGGCCAAUAUAUUCUGCCAGAAUAUACAAGUAAAAGCAAGAAAAUGACAGAAUUGAAGAGAUAUCAUGAAACAUAUCAAACAAACAGUAUUCACACAUUCAUAAGAAAACCUUUUAAGAAAAUUUGUUAAACAAAAGUAUCUUAUGGGAGAACAGCGGCUGUAUUCAUGAUUAAAUUUGAGGCUAAGCUGUACAGGCUGAAGAUUCAAGUGUUCGGAACAAUCUAUCUACGUUGCUCAAAAAUCAAAUCUGCAGCACGGGCUUCGGUUCUGAAGUUUCCUCAAAAUCCAGAAACAUGUUAAAAAGAUGGGAAAAGACAUUAGAUGAGAACAGAAUCUAAGAUGCAGAGAGUGGGAUAGGCUUUACUGCACUUUGAAUUCGCUUAAAUGCUGCUUUAACUUUUUCCUUGAGGCCUUCAUUUUCGCUCUCUACAUCUCCGCUUUGUUUAUCAAGAUGUGCCACAUUCCCAUCAACAUUUAUCACCAGCUUUCCGUUUUCUCCUAAUUGCACAUCUCCAAAGAGUGAGACAAGCAGUGCAUGAAUAACCUUUUCCGCUUUCUUCCCACUUUCUUCCUCAGAUUUUAUGGCCUCUGAUUCGACAACUCUGCUGUACCGUACAUCCGCCUUGGCCGUACAGCAGUACUAAAGAAGUACGGAACUUAAAUGUUCCUAACCAAGGAUACUUUGAAUACAAAAUGCUACGCUUACAAUUAAAAGAAGAAUAACAGAAUUCUAAAUAUAAAAAUCACCUAAUGCAAACCGAAACCAGAUAAAUAACUUAAACUGCAAUCGAGAUUAACUGUAUCGCACCAUUACAUACCUUAAUUAAAUCACGGCUCAAGUCAUUAAUGUUCUUCACAAACAAAGUGAUUCUCUUUCCUUUUUCCGGAAUUCUUCCGCCAGGUUUUAACUACACAAAAAGUACAAUGACUAUUGCAACAUAAAAAAUGCAAGAGGGAAGUAGAAGCAAGUAGUUACAAACCUCAGAAUUGCGGUAGCCACAAGCAUCACACGUGGAUGCCAUAACAAUUACUUCUUGGAAGUAUGGAAUCCCUGUACAUAGUUAAGGUCGACAAACUUUGCGUGUAACAUCCCAAUUAAAAAUUACGAAGGCACACAGGAGAACGACAAUUAUGCUAAUAAUGAAUAUGGUAAAGAAAGAAAAACAAAAGGCAACACCAAACGUUCGCAUACUUUACAAAUAAGCAUGUCAUUGAAAUUCAGUUACAACGACAAAUAGACUAGUGUUAAAACACAAGGAAUAACAAGAUAACAUCACAUGAACGAGGAUGUUAAGAGACUUUCAGCAUGUAAAUUCUAUAAGGGGGGAAGGGGGGAAUUCAAAUGGAUGAGAAAGCCCACCAAACAUACAAACUGCUGUACCGUACAUCCGCCUUGGCCGUACAGCAGUGAAAAUCUUCGGAGAUCUCCAAAAUCAAAGAAAAAAUUUGAAAACCGUAGGUGAGUUGUUAUUGCCGUUUUUCUUGUUGUUGUUGUUGUUGUUGUUGUUGUUGUUUGGGAUGUUGUUGUUGUUUGGGAUGUUGUUGUUGUUUGGGAUGUUGUUGUUGUUUGGGAUGUUGUUGUUGUUUGGGAUGUUGUUGUUGUUUGGGAUGUUGUUGUUGUUUGGGAUGUUGUUGUUGUUUGGGAUGUUGUUGUUGUUUGGGAUGUUGUUGUUGUUUGGGAUGUUGUUGUUGUUUGGGAUGUUGUUGUUGUUUGGGAUGUUGUUGUUGUUUGGGAUGUUGUUGUUGUUUGGGAUGUUGUUGUUGUUUGGGAUGUUGUUGUUGUUUGGGAUGUUGUUGUUGUUUGGGAUGUUGUUGUUGUUUGGGAUGUUGUUGUUGUUUGGGAUGUUGUUGUUGUUUGGGAUGUUGUUGUUGUUUGGGAUGUUGUUGUUGUUUGGGAUGUUGUUGUUGUUUGGGAUGUUGUUGUUGUUUGGGAUGUUGUUGUUGUUGGUGGUGUUUUAAUGGCGGUGGUGGGUGAGAUGCAUGUGGGAAAGGGAAGAGAAGCUGCUGUACCGUACAUCCGCCUUGGCCGUACAGCAGACAAAAAAAAAUUUAUUAUNNNNNNNNNNNNNNNNNNNNNNNNNNNNNNNNNNNNNNNNNNNNNNNNNNNNNNNNNNNNNNNNNNNNNNNNNNNNNNNNNNNNNNNNNNNNNNNNNNNNNNNNNNNNNNNNNNNNNNNNNNNNNNNNNNNNNNNNNNNNNNNNNNNNNNNNNNNNNNNNNNNNNNNNNNNNNNNNNNNNNNNNNNNNNNNNNNNNNNNNNNNNNNNNNNNNNNNNNNNNNNNNNNNNNNNNNNNNNNNNNNNNNNNNNNNNNNNNNNNNNCAGCAGAUUAUAUAUAUAUAUAUAUAUAAAUGUUUCAGUUCAAAAUUUUAAAGUGCGGGAAAGUGCGGAAAAAUUUUAAAACUGCAUGAUUUUAAAGGUUUCUGCUGUACGGCCAAGGCGGAUGUACGGUACAGCAGAAAUCCAAUACGAAGGGAUUUCAUCAUGAGAAAUGUAGAAUCCGCAAAAGAGAAGAGAAAGGCCUAAAAUCGCUACAACAAUGGUGAAACCUAUCUGUAUAUUGGGGAUGAAUCCAGCGACGAACGCCAUGAACGAAGUUCCAGCCCAGUAUGAAGCAAACAUUGUGAUGAAGAAGAAGAGGAACCCCGAGAAGCCUCCGGCUAGACCAACUGCCCAAAAGGUUGUUAACGCGAAAACAAGAGAAAGGGUGAUCAUGGAAGGAAUGGAGGCCAGAGCAUGAGCAAGUACAUAAGAUGAGACCCGGUAAGCGUUGUAGGAAGUUUCUCUUAUGAAAAUGUUCCGCUCUUGAAGCAAUGCGGGGAUUUCUCUUGCACAAUUGUAGAAUAUGGUGGUCAUGGCAAAUGCAACAAAAGCUAAGCGUAGUCGUGUGCCUUUUGGGGAGUCAUCGAGUUGCCAAUAAAGGGUGGCCAGUACACAUGCAAUCACAAGUUGUGCUCCUAGGCGAGUGCCAAAUAAUUCGGGCAUUCUUCUUGAGUUUGUGUUUGAUCUUUUGGAAAGAAACAGCAUUUCGGUCCAAAAAGGAUUGACAAAAGUUUGAACAUUUUUGUUUUUACCAGCCGAGACUAAUUUACCUCUGGAAAUACUUGCCUCGAUUGCGUCUUCAAGAUCAACAUCGGGUUGAUGAUCAGUAUCGGAGGCCAUUUUUGGAUUUCUCGUCAUCUGCCAGGACUUAUUGAAUUGAACUAAGCUGCUGAUUCCGCUAGGAGCUUCUUCAAGUUCACGAAUUAAGUCAAGAGAAAACUCACAUGGGUUUUCAUUCUCAGGAAUCGGAUGCCCAAACUCAGCAAAGAAUAGACUAAAAUCAGUGGCUGGAGUUCCGCUGUACACAGUCUGUCCAUGUGAUAGAAAUAUCAAACGGUUUAGUAGGCUGAAAAUUCUGUAACUCGGCUGGUGUAUGGACAUAAUCACAACACUUCCGCUCUUUGCAAUUUCCCCCAAGACCUUAACAACCUUAAAUGCACUUGUGGAAUCAAGCCCUGAUGUGGGUUCGUCGAGGAACAGCAGAAUUGGAUCAUGAAUUAUAUCAAUUCCAAUCGAAACACGCCUGCGUUCGCCUCCUGAAACGCCUCUGUGCUGCUCAUCACCGAUAAAAGUCUUCGCUGCACUUCGCAAUCCGAGCUGAUCAAUAAGAGCUUCAACUCUUUCUCGUUUCCUUUUCUUGGAGACAGAGCGUGGAAGCCGACACUCUGCCGAAAACAUGAGGGUCUCUUCUACGGUUAACAUAGGGAACAGAAGUUCAUCUUGCAUUACAUACGCAGAUAUGAUCUUCAAAAGCCUUGACUCCAAAACUGCUCCAUUCAAAGUCACAGUCCCUUUCAAGCUCUCCUUCUCAAUGCGGCCAGCCAGAGCAUCAAUCAGAGUUGAUUUACCAGCUCCGCUAGCCCCGAGAAUCGCCAUUAUCUCACCUUCUCUUGCUACCCCAGAAAUAUCAUCCAGUAGAAGUUUUGAAUUAACACCAUAUGAUAAGUUGUUAAAAGAAAGCACAAACGGGUGAGUCGUUGAUGCAGGGCUGCUAGCAUUGGACAGGUCAAUCACCUGAUGCUGAUCUUCGAGAUCACGGAUAGUGAGGGGAUCUUUGAAUCUGGCACUGCGAUUAUUAUUUUUUCCAGCCUCUGUUUUUUGCUCUGUUUUUGGUGCAUGGUGAAUGAGGAGCAAAGGGUUGUCGCCUGCACUUAGGGGCGACAUGUUUGGUGCCUCCAUAAUGACAAUGCUAAUAUGUUUGGAUCCAAAUUCGGAAUGGAAAUGCAAUGCAUAUAUAACUUGGUGGGCUUUGAAUUUAACUUUUAAAACGAAUCUUAUAAUAGCAAAAGAAAUCAUGUCCACAUUCCUUUUUUGAAUUUUUUUAAUAUCUUUGGAAGUAGUCCAUACUGUUAAACUUGCAAUAAAAAAAAAUGACAAUAAUUCAUUUGCUUGCUUCUCUUCUUACUUCUCCGUGUUAAACUACUUUAUUUUCACGCAAAUCAUCAACUAGACUACAUCCUUUAUUUGACUUAUAUAUAGAUAUAAUCAUUUUCAAAUGGCAGCAUCUUCAUUUUUUAUUACGGUUUACUAAUUAAUCAAAAUAAUUUUAUUAAACCAUAUAAUUUAAUUGUGAAUUAAAAUUGAAUUAAUUUUACAUUAAAAAAUAAUAAUAAGAACAUUCGCAUUAAAAGAGGAUUAUAUAUAUAUAUAUAUAUAAAUGUUUCAGUUCAAAAUUUUAAAGUGCGGGAAAGUGCGGAAAAAUUUUAAAACUGCAUGAUUUUAAAGGUUUAAAAUUAUAAGUCUUUAAAAUCGUACGGUUUUAAAAUUUUUUCGGACUUUCCCGCAUUUUAAAAUCACUGAUCAGAAAAUUAUAUAUAUAAUCUUUUACAAUAUUGUAAAAUUAUUUACACUAAUUUUACAAAAGUCGUUUUCACACUUUAAUAAAGUGUAAAACCUCAUUAAGAAAACACUCUAUAAAUAUAAUAUGAUACUUAAGGAAUAUCCCUCUUUUUCCUUAACCUUCAAGUUGUCCUUACUGUAUUGUUUUCUUUCCAAUGUUAGAUGUACAUAACUUCAUUAAUCAUUAUAACACAAACGUGUUGGCCGAAGUGAAAAACAGAAACAAACAGCAGAAAAAAUAGCAAUGGACAGCAGAUAAAUAGUCGAUCAAACAGCGGCAGAAAACGGCAAUAAACAUCAGGUAAAACAGCAGCAGAAUUGCAGAAAACACUAACAAAAGACAAGAGCAGGCAGAAAGAGCAGCCUUUAUUGUUUAAUAAAUUAUAAAUAGUCAGUGCGCGUGCAUUUAUUCAUUGUCCUAAAGACCAAAUUGCCCUCUCCAGGACAUGAAUCUUGGUUUAAAAAGGGGUGAUUUGACCUUCAGAAUACAUUACCCACUUACACAACUUUUAUAAACAUGCAAUUUUAAUUACAAAACUAUUGGAAAAGUGAUAUCCACCCACUGUGGCAGAUCAGAAAAAUAAUUUAUUAGAGACUAAUUUAGGUGGUAGUAAAAUAUAAAAAUUAAAACUUUAAAUAUGUAAAAUAUUUGUUAAUACAUUUAUAAUUGUUGUCCAAGUAUUUUCGUAUUUUGAAAAUAUUAUGCAAUAAAUUCAUUAUUAAUAUUAUUAAAUAUAUUUUUCUUAUAUAAACAACCAAAUUAUAAUUCAUUUCAUCAUAUUCCAUAGAUGAUUCUUCACGAAUUUUGUUAUUGAAAACUUCGCUCUAGUAUUAAUAUGGAAACUAGAAGAAUUAAUUCUGUUUUUAGAACACAAGAAUGUUAAUCUUUUACAAUUCCUAAAAGUUAGAGUUCAAAUUUUAUGGUUUAUAAAAUUAUAGGGCCUAUGUUAAUAGAUUUAAUGGAGGCUAAUUAGAGACCCAAAAAAUUUUCUUCUUUUAUCUUAGAACUUUUUUUUUUGGGCUAGAGGGGGCUUGAGCCCGCUGGUCACAUGCUGGAUUUGCUGUUGGUCACCCGCCGAUGAACCCCAGACUCAACUCCACAAAAGUAAAUUUUGGGGGUAAUUUUGUUAUUGAUUUGAAAAUUUGAACAACUUUAUUAUUACUUUUGAGUUUUUUUUUUGAAUUACAUGAGAUUCAUGCUCCGAUUACAACUCAUAUUAUAUGAGAUUUACAACUAAUAUUUACAAUCAGACAAUUACUGGGCCUAAUUUACCUUAAUUUUUAUGUAGCACUGCUUAAAUUUUACCCUCUCUAAUAUUUGAGGGGUGUUUACUCUACUCACAUUUCGAAAUAGAGUAAACUACCUUCACUUAAUAAUUAAGAAAGGAAAUAAGUCCCUACAUGCGUUGCGGGGACUCGAACCGUUGCGCUCACAGUUGUGAGUGCAAGGUUCUGGCCACUGGGUUAAGGCCCAGUUGGUUUAUUAUUACUUUUGAGUUUUAUUUACACUUUUGUGGGGCUGAAACUUAUUCACUAUCAAAACUUAAAAAGUCUUACAACAAUAUUUUUUGAAGUAUUCUUUAUACGGGUGAGAUAUCUUUUAUUUUGGAAGGAAAGUAAUAAUGUUAUAACCAAAAAUUUGGCGGCACAACUAAUUAAUUUCCACGGUUGUCAAUUACGCAUCCGUUGACAACUAGAGUUUCAUUCUACGGUCGUCGUGGCUGCAGAAGUACCCCCACUACCCAAGCGUAGCUAUAUUUGUUCUUUCAAUUUUCACUAAUAAGCAAAGGUAAAGAACAGAUAUAAAUAUAAAACCAAAAUAUAUACCCUAAUUUUUGGAAAACCUUAUAUUGAAUUAAAAUAGCAAACACCUUGACCACAUUUUGGAACUCCCUUAAUUGGUUGCUGCUACUUCCUGCUGUACCGUACAUCCGCCUUGGCCGCACAGCAGAUAAAUAGUUUAUUCUAAGAAAAUAUUAAUUUUGUACUAAAUAAUAUUAUAUUAUUAUUUUAUAUAAUAAUAAAUUUAAUAUAAUUAUAUUAAAUAAAAUAAAAUAAGGUUUCAUUUUGUAUUAAAAUUAAUAAUUUAUUGUUCAUAAUUAAGAAUAUUAAUAAUUAUAAUAAAUUUACAAAUAUAAUAAAAUAAAUAUUAUUCAUUAAAUAUAUUUUUUAUUAGUUUUGUAAUUAAAAACUAUAAUUCUUUAAAUAAGGAUAAAAUUGUAAUUUGAAACUAUUUACUCCCAAUCCAAGACAAAGUAAACACAUAAAUUGGAUUCUGAUCUCUAUUCCAUGCUUCCAUUCCAGUAUAAGUAAACAACAUACUCCCACUCCCACUCCACACUCCCAAUCCUAGGAUUCACACUCCUCAAGAUUCCCAAUCCAAUCCAAAAAGUAAAUGCAGCCUAAAUGAUUUACUCCAGAUAUCUACCAUACUUGACCUUAAGUUCUUGAAGAAAGAAAAUUAGUAGCUUUAAAUUAUCAAAGAUUUUAUGAUUUCAAAUCAGCCCUCGAUACUAAAAAACAACAAAUUAGCCUGAAUUUUUUCAUAAGUAUAUUAGCAAAACAUAUAGCUAGCAGUAUGUCUCAGCACACAUCGCCAAGUGUUCAAAAUACAUAAAGUAGAAAAGUUGCUUUAACUUCCAUUAAUACUUUGUCUUUUUACAAUCUUCGUGAAACAAUGGUAAAAAAUUUCAAAAGAUUGGAUGACAGGUGUAGAGAUCCUUAUGAAGAAAGAAAUUCUCAAAAGGAUAAGCUUAAGACUUUAUUAGCCAUCUCGCAGAUAAAGGUGAAAAACCUUUAUCCUAUUAAGAAAAUAGCAUAAAGUGGCUAUUUUGAGGCCAAUUUUGAGCAACAUAAAUAUUGACGAAAUAUACAUGCAUAGAUGUUUCAGAAUCUCCUUUGUGAGCUCUUUACAAGGAAUUAUAGAAUGCAGAAAUUAGCACUUAGGUGAAUGAGAAAUCGGGUCUCAAAGAGAAAAUGUUGUUAUGAAAAAAUGAGGAAAAAUUGCACAUGAGAUUUUAACUAACUAAUGCCCCCUUGAAACCCAUAUAUAUAUAUAUUGGCUUUCAUGUUCAAUUACAAGACACACCAGAAUCUAAGUGGUUUUCUUUUAUAUCUUUAAGUUUCAGUAUGAUAAAAUUCAAACAUUUGUUUAAAAUUCGUAAAAAUAGUGAGAUUAUGCUAUCAACACUAUUCAAAUUCGUUGUAUCCUGGGAGGCACACCAAUAUAAUUCAAGCACUAUUGUGAAGGUAGAGAAUCUAUUUUAAGGACACUGUAUUUUUACAGGCCUCGGGUUAGUAAUUUUUUUUUUUACAUAUUGUCGAUUUAUUUGCUAUUGCAAUUUAUUUUAUUAUUGUUAUUAUCAACUUGUGAUAAGUGGGUCAGAGGCUUAUUAGUAAGAUUAAGUGCACUAGAAAGAUUAUGUCACGAAAACUAUAUAUACAACGCCUAAGGAGUUUGAGUUUUAAAUAGAACCAUUAUAACCCCUCCAAUCUUUCUUGGGAACCUAACUAGUGUUUUUACAUACGAAGUGGGUGGUCUUAUGGCACUUGAAAGAAAUAAUAAUAUAUCACUAUAUAGCCCUAAUGGUUAAAGCAACUAUUAAGUGCAAAACACUGAACCCAUGAGAGCUAAAAAUGAGAAAAAGCAUAUAUUUUUUCUUUACACAUAUUGAACUUCAAAACUACCCCAUUAUGACUGAUUUAUUUAAAGAGUAUCUUGCCAAAAUGUAAAAUGACAAAAUGAAGUUCAUUUAGAGUUCUCUAAAACUAUUCUAAACGGAGCUAUGAAAGCCCAGAGUUUGCCUGCUGAACACUUGAAUUUCUCAUCUUAUGGCAAACUUAUUAUGACAAUACUCACAAUAUCUACCACUUAAAUAUGUAGAUUGUAAGUGCCAUCUCACCUACAGUAUUGCAAGAGUUAUCAUUGAUCUGGGACAAUUUACUCCACAAUUUUUGUUAGAUUUUGGUUUUUUUAAUCAAGUUAUUGUUCAAGACCCAAACCAGACAAUUGUAUUUGGAAGAAAAUUAGCAUCAACCAUGCUCAACUUAAUGUCAAUAGGAAAACAGCUCGUAGUAGCUUACAUCUAAUCAUAAUCACUAAAAUGAAGAUUUAAGAAAGAUGUAUAUUAUAAGUUUGAAGCCCAACAUUCUAUUUUUCUCAAGGGAUCUAACACCACUAGAGAACUUGAUAACUUAAAAGGUUCCACUAUUCACUGGAUUUGCACUAGUAAUUCUUUAACCGUGUAGAUUAGACAUUGGAGAAGCAAAAUAAUAACAAGAGAAUUUAAGAUUCGAGAAUUCACUGAUCAUACUAACUGAUUAUUGAAGACUUUAAUAAAAAAAAUAUAUUCUCGCCAAGAUAUGCCUUAAGUCCCUUUAUUUCUAAGACCACAAAUGAUCAGCUUGUAGAUUUCUACCGAGAGCUAUACAAGGAAGAUCUCAAGCUUAUAGAUCUCUCAUGAAAGAUCAAUCAAGCGAAGAAGAAGAUGAUGGUAGAGGCUUCUACAAUGAUUUAGAUGAUGCUGACACCACAAUCUUGAAAACAUAUUAGAACCUUGACUUUGUAGUAGUCCACUCUCUAAUUAGUCACCCUUCACUUAGUACCUGAAAAGUUGUGGUGAUAAUUCUGCCGGUACUCACCAUUUUCACGUGAAGAAAAAGACAACCUCCUUUUCUAAGUGGAUGUCAUACUCUCUAUAAUUUGGAUCACCCACAUGAAAAUAAGGAGAUAAAAAUAAAAGCUUUUAUGAACUCUAUAAAUAGAAGGAAUUUUCUUUUAGACAAAAUAAUCAUAUUAAUAAAAAAAUAUCUUGUAGUAAAAUUCAAUCUGUAAAAGUUACGAGACACUUGCUCAAUUCUCUGGAAGUCAUUACAAGUAAGCUAGUUUUAUUUAGCAUAAUGUACUGUAACUAAGUUGUUUAGUUCUUCUUUAAUAAAUAAAAUCAGUCUUUUGUAAAUUUUUAUGUGUUUAUAAAUGAACAAAUUUAUAUAUUGUAAAUCUUUUUUCUUUUAUUUGUAUUUAAAGAAUAUUUUCUAUCUAUAAAGAAUAAAAUUAGACUAUAGGGUAAAAUUUAGAUUCCUAGAAAAAUCUAAAGCCUUAAAAAAUGACCUUUGAGUGCCCAAUUUUACUCCUAAAUACCGUUUUAAUCGAAGAAUAGGUGUUUUAAAGAAGAAGGGAGGCUUGGUAUUGAGAUUUCCAUGACUCAAAGAGAAAGAAAGUUUUUUUUGAAAAAACUUUAGUUUUAAUCAAAAAAAUUAAUUUUAUACUCUGAACUUUUAGAAGUAAUUUUUUCAAAAAGAAUUUAUGAAUUUGAUUAAUAUUUAUGACAAAACUUGUUAUCUAACAAAUUUGAUUAAAGUUUAUAAAAGAAUCUAAGAGUAUCUAGUAAAGAAGAAGUACUUAUGAGAAUUUUUUUAAUCAAAAUUUGCUUGCAUGCUCUCAGAUAAUGAUACUUGUUUUACUUUAUAAGAUUGUUCUAUUUUAUCAUUUAUUGAAUAAAUUAAACAAGUUAUUAAUUUAGGAAGCUAAACCGUAAUAAGAGUCAUAUUGAUUGUAACAUUAAAUUAAGAAUUAUAACAAAUAUAAAAAUAGAAGUAACAUAAAGAAAAAAUACGAUACAAGAAAUAAUAUAGAAAAUACUUCUAAAUGAUUAAUUUAGAAGAAGUUAUAAUUAAAAAUAUUAUAAAUAGUCGAAUAUUAACAUUAUUUUUAUUCCGCUAUUCUCAAUUUAGUAGAUUUGAACUAAUAAUAACACUAGAAUACUUUUAAAAAAAUGUAAUAUAAUACAUAUAGAUAUCGUAAUUACUAUAAUCUAAAUUCAAGUAGUCAAGAGACUAAAAGAAAUUUGAUUUAAAAUAAGAAUAGUCUUAAUUUAUUCGACUUUUUAUAAUUUUAUAAGAAGUUUAAAAUGUAUAACAAAAGAAACCCAUUCGGAGUUUGACUCCGCCUAAAUAGCAGCACUCAUAAUAAAUGCAGUUCAAAAUUAAUUCUGAAAAAAAUUUGACGAUGAGAUCUCAAGCGAUGUGACGUGUGUGUGUUUGUAAAAGGCCAAUGGUGACACGUCACCACUAAAUAAGCAAAAAAUUAUUAGCGUGAAUAAAUAAUUAAACAAUAACAAAUAAAUUAAAGGAAAGAACCUGUCCUGCAAGUGCCAUCCAGCGAGACUGGCGACUGUUGUCAAAGCAGCUCUCCAUUUUAGCACCUUCUCGUGAUUCUCCUUAAACUCCUCUUCAUAUUUAGCAAACACUCUCUCAAAAUCUUCUCCUUUCUGCUUCCGCACAUCCGCCGGAUCUACGCCGUAAAAGACGGCGAAAACUUUACGAUCCUUCCUCUUGUUCCCGCACUCAACAAUCUUCGCAAGCUCAUCCAAACACCACGGGGAAGAAGCGUAGUUUUUCGAUAAGAUUACAAUCGAAACAUUGGAUUCUUCAAUUGCCUUCGAGAGCUCUGAUGAAAUCUCGUUUCCUCUGUCCAGUGUUUCGUCGUCCUUAAAUGCGAUGAAUCCGUUGCGAAUUAAAGCGGUGUGGAGGUUGUCGGUGAAAUUGUUGCGAGUAUCUUCGCCUCUGAAACUCAAAAAGACGUCGUAUUUGCUUUGAAGAAUUUGAUGAUGAGUGGAAGAAGAUGAAGUAUGAGAGGCCGCCAUUUCGAAGGCCUUUGGGAUCUGUGGCUAUUAGAAUUUAGAGAAGCGUUUAAGCAAAUGAAAAGAUUAUAAAAUAAAAAAUAAAAAAUCUGAAGCGCUGUCGGCGAGUUUUCGACAGCGACCCUGUACUCUACAACAAUUUGAUUUGAUGGAACAAAUGCCGUCCGAUGAUAAAUUAGUAAAUACAUAAUGAGUCUUAUUAAUUUUUUAAAUACAAAAUUUUAUGCGUCUUAUAAUGAGAUUUUAUUAGUAAUUUUAUUUUAAAACUUAUUGUUAUAUAUCCCAUAACAAAACCAUAAGGUGAUGAGUUUGUCUCCUGCACGUUUUUCUACACAUUUACAUGUAUAAUCCAGCUUUAUUUUUGGCUCCUAAUUCAUUUUAUUUUUUAAUAUUAAAAUUUAUCAGUUAAAUAAAUUCUUUAAAAAUCAGGAUCAAAAUUUUCGGACUGUUUUUUAUCCUUAAUUGCUAGGAUUGAAAAAUAUUAAGAAGGGAUUUAUUCUCUAGGAUAUUCUCAAGGAGAAUAUUUUCAUGGAGCCGUCUGAUUUUGCAUUUUAUUGUUUCAUUGCAUCCUUCGUAUUUCUGAUAGGCAUUUUGGUAAUUUUAAUAUAUUUGUGCAUUUGAUUUCCCAUUAACUAUAUGUCAACUCAUUAAUGGCCAUUUGAGAUUUACUUCCAAAUUCCAAUGAGAUCUUCCAGUCUCUUUUCUGAAAAUUAAACGAGGUGAAUCACUCUAAUUAUGAAUGGGUAUUCACCUUGAUUUUUAUUAAACUGAAUCUAAUUGAAACCGGAAUAAUUUAAUUUAUAUGCGGUUCAUAUAUUUUUGAACCAAUUGAUUUUAGUUUGGUUCAAUUUAGUUCUUAAAUAAAACAAAAUCGAACUAAUUAGUAUCCACCUCAAUUAUAACAAUAAAAUAAUCUUUUAUUUUACAUAUUUUAUCUAGGAUUAUAUAUUUAGGCCACAUGGUGCGUCUUAUUUGGCUUAACAAAAUUUAAUGAUCAACAAGACUUGGUUUGGUAUCGACGGUAGAACAACUGUGGUGAGAGAAGAGCCAGUAAAUGUAGCACCUCAAUACUAAUUUAUAAACAUUUUGUUCCUUCUUCCUGUAAUUAGAUAAAACAUCAAGGGAGGCCUCUUCAAUUUACCAUCCUCCAGUCCUCCACGCUGCUUUGUUUUUAACCAUACAUUCAUUAAAAGAAAAGCUGACCACUCAUUCUCUUGCAAUCACUAAACAACAAAAUUAGAAAAAAGAAAAUCCAAGACUCGUGGUCGUUUAUGGUUAGUGGAGUAGUCGUUUCGUUUGCUCGCCACUACUCACCCGAGCACAAACAAUCACUCACUCCAUGAUCACCUCUUCAAGCUUCAAUCUCGAAGCCACUCUCCUAACGACCACUAAACUUGUACAUUAUUUACCACUCGAGCCACCACCACCACUUCACGGCAUCAAAUGCUGCACAAUCUUUUCUCCUCCUCCUCCUUUAGUUAACAAGUUAACACACAGCAGUCGAAUUUACGCUAGUAUCGUUAACGGUAACGGUAACGGUAACGGUGAUAAUGGGAAGAAUAGAAAAGAAGAUGAAGACGAACAGAGAAAAGUGCAUUGUGAAGUUGAAGUGGUUUCUUGGCGGGAACGAAGAAUUAAAGCCGAAAUGUUGGUCAACGCCGAUGUUGACUCCGUUUGGAAUGCUCUCACUGACUAUGAGCGCCUCGCCGAUUUCGUCCCCAAUCUUGCUUGCAGGUAAAAUUGAUGAUUAAUUUUUAAUUAAUUGUUUAUUUUUUGAGCAACGAGCACGUUCACAGCGGUAGCGGAAUAAAGAUUUCGGUUGUAAUUAGCCAUAACACAAAAGUACAAAACCUGAGGGAGUUUAAAGAAAAUAUUUAGUAAUUUACGGAUGUGGAUAAAAUUUCAUCGAAGUCCCUUACGCUUAGGAUAAUUUUUUUUGAAGACCCUUAUGUUUGAAUUGUUUAGUAUUGGGAUGUAUAACAUAGGUUGAUGUUCGAAUGUCAGUGGGAGAAUUCCCUGUCCAUAUCCAGGGCGAAUAUGGCUGGAGCAGAGAGGCCUUCAAAGGGCAUUAUACUGGCAUAUUGAAGCUCGUGUAGUUUUGGAUCUCCAAGAGUUAAUCCAUUCAGUAAGCGUUUUAAAACCAAGUACAGAGAGUGGUUUUUUUUUUUAACUGUAUAAUCAUUUAGGUUAAAGCAUAUUCAAGGUACAUUAUCUAUGCUGCCGACAACCAUACGAAACUAGUAAAAUUGAAUUUGUAUCAUAUGCUGAUAUCCUUGCAAACAAAUUUAGCACAUAUUUAUUUAUUUUUAUUCAUGAGGAUCCCGUGCUUCCACUUUAGUACAUUUGAUGCCUUGGUUAAUAGGUUUAUGUAGCUUUGUUUCUGCUUUUCUAGCAUUUAUUUGGCUUCCGCGUACAAGUCUUUGAAAUUUUGCCUUUGUCACAUAUGAUUUAAAAUUUAGUUGUCACAUAUUUACUCAUUUGCACUCAUGUUUGUUACCUAAAUAAUAUGGUCAAUGACUUAGGCCAGUGAUCGAGAACUCUACUUUUCCAUGGUUGAUGGUGACUUUAAAAAGUUUGAAGGCAAAUGGUCCAUAAAAUCUGGGACGAGGUAGAUUCCGCUUACUCAUUUUUAAGCUAGAAUGCUUAGUGUAACAAAAUUGAACUACAUUUCCUACUAUCUGCCUGUCUUAGCAUUCUUUUAUUUUGGAGAUGUUUGAUGCUUGUUCAUCUGAAGCUGACUUGAUAGUACCUUAAUUUUCUUUUUCAUAAGAAACUCAUAAAUGUAUUAGUAAAGAAGAUUUAAAACAGAUAGUGGACCAGCUGUCCAAUAAGAAACCAAAAGCUAGGACUAUUUGUGCCAUACCCAAUCACCCUAUACAGGGCUAGAAUCAGAUAUCUCCCUAUCUCAAAACCCUAUCCCAUUUUAGAUGAAUGAAGAGAAAUGAUGAAUCUUGAAACUCCUUAGAAUACGAACUCUAUCCCACAGUUCUUAAGCAUUAUCUGCACUUUUCCCCUAACAAAUAAGAACAUUUCUUUCCUCAUGUUACCCAAAACAGAGCUGCCACUGCACAUUUCCAAAGAGUUUUAGCCUUUGUUCCUCUACCAAAAGCAAACGAUUUCUCCAUAAGAAGAGAAUCACAAGAACCCGGAAUGACCCACAAAAUAUUAUCUUCUUUGCACAACCUAUACGACAACUUUGAAGCCACAAAACAGUGAAGAAAAAGAUGAUUCGAAUUAUCUGGAAUUUUCUUGCGCAUCACACACCAAGGAGAGAGACAUAAAUUAGGAAACUUUCUUUGGAUUACUUGUCCAGUAUUUAAUUUUCCUUGUGCCAAGGCCCACAAGAAGACUUGAAUUUUAGGAGAUGCUAGCCUUCCAAAUCAUUUUGAAGGUUAAAAAUUCUCCAGCAGAAUUGUCAUUGCUGAACUUCUCAAAAUAUGACUUGCAAGUAUACUGUCCUGAAGCUUCCAUAUCCUUUUGUCUUCCUCCUUAAUUUCAUCCACAUGUGGUAUAGGCUAACUUAUUUCUUCAUUAGCUUACAUCAUUUCAUUGUAAUUGAUAGGCUUUCUUUAGGAUUUCUUCUCACCCUGCAUCAUCAGGGAGGGACGGAAUCAAGAAUAAGCGAAGUUAUCUUCCUUAAUGCCAGAGAACAUUUUGUGUAAAUAAUUGGAAAACAUUGAUUUAGGGAGAUUUGCCUAGCUUGGACAAGGUUUUUGCAGCCUUUCAUUAGCAACCAAGAAACCUUUGGAAUAGUUUCCAAAUUCGUCUUGAUAUCAAGGAAUUCACAUAAAUAUGAUGCUUCUCCUAGUUAGGCUAUGAUAACCAAGAUGUCAUAUGCUUGUCCCCUGACACCAAGAAAAAGGAUAAAGUGACUCACUCAAAAUGACUUAUAACGCUGAGAAACAUAAUUUCAUCCCUUGAUAAUACUAGUGAGGUCAAUGGUAACUUUCUCCAAGUCAAGUUGGAUCUCUCUUCUUUCCUGAGUCGUCUUUUCUUUUUUUUUUUUCCUCCAUUUUCUUGGGUUUGUCCAAUAUAAUUAUUCUCUUUUUUCUUGUUAAUUUUUUUCUUUUAAUUCUUAUGGAUGAUAUAACUGUGCAUUUCCAGUUAUUGAUUGUCAUUUUAAGCUAUUAAAAAUAUUGUUUUACUCUCUUAAUUUCUUUUUACGACCACUUCUUUCUUUUUUCAGGUCUUCAACAACCACUUUAUCAUAUGAAGUUAAUGUGAUACCUAGAUUGAACUUCCCGGCCAUUUUUUUGGAGAGGAUUAUCAGAUCAGAUCUUCCUGUGAAUCUUCAAGCCUUGGCUUGUCGAGCUGAAAGGAGUUUUGGAUGGAACCAGAAGAUACCGAUGAUAAAAAAUUCCUUCGGUGAACUAUCUUUGCCCAUCCUUGCUUCCCCCAGCUUAGACUUUGAUGGUGGACUACCUGAGAAGGGUAAAGCACCACAUGGAGAGUUUAAUGAAAACAUUGUGAGCUCAAACUUUGGUUCUGUGCCGCCAUCUUCGAGUGAUUUAAACAGUAAAUGGGGCGUUUUUGGACAAGUUUGCAGACUUGACAGGCCAUGUUUUGUGGAUGAAGUUCAUCUUCGUAGAUUUGAUGGCUUAUUGGUAACUCAUUGUCUCUAGACUACUCUGAAUAGGCCUUCCUGUCCCAAGGAGGCCAUUUUUUGUUUUGGCAGUUGCUGAUAAAAUGGUUUUGAGCUGAAGGAAAAUGGAGGUGUCCACCGCUGUGUUGUUGCGAGCAUAACUGUAAAAGCUACUGUCAGUGAAGUUUGGAAUGUUAUGACUGCUUAUGAGACUCUUCCUGAGUAAGUAGUUUAUGAUCAUGAGUCAUGAAAUUUUAAAUCAAAGUAUUAGAUUCUGUUCAAAAGGUACCAAAUACUCCAAUUCCAUUGACUUCGGACAUAUAUCUCUGCACUCCUUUUAGCUGGCUGAUUCUAAUAUUUUAUGUCGGGCAAUGUCUAUCACCUAGACAACCUCAAAGAGUGAAAUCAUCAGAAUUCUUUCAAGGGUGUUGCAUGAAGGCCUGAAGCAAUUUGGUUGAUCGUCCUAUAGCUUCAUUAGUAGUUGCAUUUGGAACGCUUCUUUGAAGUUAGAUCUUUCUCACCGUGCAUGGAGCUGUCUAAGAAUAAAUAAUUGCAAUGCAUGUUUUGCUGUUAGUACUUUAGGAUUUUAGCGAGUAUCAAAAUGAUUAGCUUGAAGAUAACUAACUGUAGUUUUCACUCAUGAUAAAAUUGCCAAUAUAGUACUUUUAGGAUUUUAGAGACCUAGGCUGGUUUUCUUUGCAUUUGUGUAUACAUCUGAUAGACUCAAAUUGCUCUACAGAUUUUUUUUGUAGAAUAAAUACACAGAUUUCACUACACAAAAACUUUUCACACACAACAGAACUCCUACACAACCAGGAUAUUCAAGAGACCUGGAACUCUCCUACAUUCACAGUAUUAUUUUCACCAAAUCUGACAAAUAAUGGACUGCCUAAAAUACUAACACAACUGCUUGAUAGUUUAUUACAAACCACAAACACAACCCAAACUCCUAUUAAUUGCCCCUGGAAACCGUUUUCCUUCUCUGGUAUGUGAUAUGGACAGGUGGCCUAUCAGCAUCUAUGGCACCUAUUUGCUGUUUCUGCAUGGUCUGGGUCUUCAUUUGAUGUUCAGUUUGUAGUUUAUGCCUUUAGUCUAAGUUUGACAUUUCUUUUUCUUUAUCAUGAUAGCUACACACAAUAAGUCUCCUGCAAAGCUAAUCGAAAGGAAGAGUUGUUGUCUAAGUGCAUGUUGUAUAUACAUUCUGGUUCUCUUAAUUGAAUUUAGACAGAGUUUCAUGGAAAUGUACUGGGUAGAUAACUAUUCCAUGCAUUUCAAGCAUAUGUUCCUCCUGGCUGAUUUUGAGAACCUCACUAAGUUCCUUCUUUGCAGGAUUGUUCCAAAUUUAGCCAUCAGUAAGAUUUUGUCGCGAGAAAACAACAAAGUUCGCAUCCUCCAGGUAUAAGAAAAAGUUUUUUAGAGUAAAACACUGAGUGCUUGAUUUUAAUAAUAUAGUUUUUUCAAAUGAGUUGAUGUAACUGUAAAAUAAAGUUUUUUCAACUUAUUUGAUAUAACUAAAUACUUCCUAUUGUUUAAAGUCUGCUAUAUUAAUUUAGAAAAUAUUCCAGACAUGGAUGGAAAUCAAAUUACAGGCACGAACAAGAACCUACUAACAAUCUUAGAGUAAAAUAUCAACUCUUUUAUUUUCCAGAACCUUGAUAGCUUAUGAGGAUUCCCUUAUCUGCAGGAAGGGUGCAAGGGUCUACUGUAUAUGGUACUUCACGCACGUGUAGUUAUGGAUAUAUGUGAGCAGCAUGAACAGGAGAUUAGUUUUGAGCAAGUUGAAGGGGACUUUGACUCAUUUCAGGGAAAAUGGCUUUUUGAACAGCUGGGAAGUCAUCACACGCUAUUGAAGUACAGUGUAGAGUCAAAAAUGCAGAAAAAUUCAUUGCUUUCAGAAGCUAUUAUGGAAGAGGUACAUGCAUUAGACAUAGUAUAUGACACUCCAGCUUUCAAUUUCGCCCCAUUUCCUUCUUACAACAUCUAAUUUACAUACUAGUUUUAGGUGUGCUAUUUGAAUGUGAAUAAAUUUGUAUUUUUUACAAAGGUCUCAUGCAUGUGAUCCCUCUGCAACAAAAGGCUCUACACGUACGGCAUGUUUAGGCCAUUUUUUAAAAUAAUUACUCAUUUUGCUUCAUUGUAGAUUUUUUAUGUCAAAACACCACCUUGAAUGGGAUUAUUUCUAAAACUGCAGCCACUGACACACCUAUUUAUGAAUUCUCUCAUUAUGGUGUCCGAUGUUCCAAAAAUGAUUACAUAAGGCUAAUACUACUAGUGGCUUUAAGUUUUUCCAAAUUAUCACUUUCAAGCCUACAGAUUGAACACUUCCAUAACCCAUGUGCAUCUAAAAUAAUCCAUCAAUAACAUACAGUGAAUUUGGACAUGGUUCUAUAUGUAUGUUAUUCUUACAUUUGUGAGGUAAGAAAUUAUUUAUUGAUCUGUCUUAUCUUCAUGAACAGAGAUUCUGUUUUGUGAAAAUUACUUGUUUAUUCUUUUUGCCUAGAGUUGUACUGUUGAAACAUUUACAGGUGGUUGUAGAAAGAUAUUCAUGCAUGUGUUUCAUAACCUUGUAGGUUAUCUAUGAAGAUCUUCCAUCGAACUUAUGUGCUAUUCGAGAUUAUGUGGAGAAGAGGGAAGGAGAUAACUCCUUAGCGAAUGAUUCUGUAGAAACAACUAAUCACACACAAUCAUCAGAUGAUCUCACACAAUCAUCAGAUGAAUUAGGUGCCUCAUCAAGCAGUGACAAUGAAGAUCUUGUAGAUUCGGAAACUCCAAAUUCAUUUAAACAAAGACCCAGGGUUCCAGGCUUGCAAACAAACAUAGAAGUUCUUAAAGCUGAGCUCCUAGAAUUUAUUUCCAAACAUGGACAGGAAGGAUUUAUGCCCAUGAGAAAACAGCUCCGCAAACAUGGUAGGGUGGAUGUUGAAAAGGCCAUCACACGCAUGGGCGGAUUUCGGAGGAUGGCAUCAUUAAUGAAUCUUGCCCUAGCUUACAAGCACCGUAAACCAAAGGGUUAUUGGGACAACCUCGAGAAUUUGGAGGAAGAGGUAUAAUGCUAAAUUUUCUUUUGCCAGUUUUAUUGGAUAUGCCUAUAUUCCUGCUCAAAUAAUCAAUUUACGUGAUCAGUCAAUGACUAGAAAUAUAAUCAAGUAUGCUGUGUGAUAAAUUUUUGAACAUAACUUUAUUCAUCAUCAUAGUAGAUACCUGAUGGAAAAGGGGUUCGGGCAAUUAAAUCAAAACACUUUUCGAAUAUAUAAAAAAUAUACGAAGAAAAAUAUAGGUAGACCAUUGUGCUUAUUAAGGGUUCACAUGGGUGGGCAGGGAAUGGGUUGCCGUUAGUCUGAAUGAUUAAUAAAAAUAAGGAGAUUUGUAUUUUUUUCCUAUUGAUUUAUUAAAUUAUGGCCCAUGAUUAAUCCCUGAUUUCUGCUUCAUAAAUUCCCAUGAAAGGGAGUGCUCAAGCUCAAGCUAAUAAGGACGAUCACAAUUUCUUUUUCUUUUUCUCUUUCUCAUAAAGUUGUACUAUUAAGUGACCAUAUAAUAUUAGGGCUGAUUGCAAUCUUUGUAACAUGAUUAUCGUCAUCCUUCAGAUUAGUAGAUUCCAAAGGAGCUGGGGAAUGGACCCAUCAUUUAUGCCCAGCAGAAAGUCUUUCGAGCGUGCAGGUAAUGAAUAUUACGUAUAUCCAUUUAUGUUGUGUGCUGGUCAUGUCAAAAUGUGGGAGGCUUCAUGGAAAAAAUUAUUCAGAUUGAAUGGACUGCAUCAUAAAGUCAUUGUAGCAACUAAAAACUAAAGUCAUAAUAAAGUCAUCUAGGGAACUUUAGUCAUGACAUUUUGUAUUAUGGGGAGUAGAACUUACUCUAGAAUAUUUCCAAUGGAACUUAGUUAACCCAUCUGGCUUCCUCGCUCAAAUUAGAGUGCAAGAUUCAUUUUCUUUUUUUUAAAUGCUCUUGUUUCAUUUCUAGCCUAAUUUAUCAAAAAUUACUGCAGGGCGUUAUGACAUUGCACGUGCACUGGAGAAAUGGGGGGGACUCCAUGAAGUUUCACGUCUUCUUUCGCUUAAAUUGAGGCAUCCCAACAGACGGGCUCAUAUUAUCAAGGAUAAGAAGGUUGAUUAUGUGGAUCCUGCUAAUUUAGAAUGUGAAGGCAAAAUUCCAUCAAAACCUUAUGUUUCACAAGAUACACAAAAAUGGGCCAUGAAACUCAAAGAUUUAGACAUUAAUUGGGUAGAGUAAGUAUUGAAUUAAUCUUUGAUCGCUAUUUAUGUUUUGAUAGGCCUAUAUCCUAUGACAUUGCGUUGAUUAGUAAUAUCCAAUGAUGUAUCAUGGGAUGCCCUUUAUUUUCUUUCCCUUGAUAGUGCAAUUUUUUUAAAAAUGUAAGUAGGUACAUUAUAUUCAUCCACUCCAAAAGGCACAGUCGAGUGGCUUUCAACCUCUUUAUUUAGCUAGCCGUUCGAGUUUAACUCUCGGGAGAGUUAGGAAAUUAAAAUUUAUUUGGGCUCUGCCCUCUCCUAACCUUUUAAGAAGAAACAUAUAUAAGUUUAUAAAAAGUAUAUAAUAUCCAGCAAUACAGAGUAGGUUAGAACCUUGUGCUUCUUAAUUUUUAAUUUAUAACAGUCAAAAGUGUCUGAUAAAAGCUCACUUAUGCUUAUGAUGCAUUACUUGCCUUAUUAUCUAUUUUUGUCCACAAAAAGAAAUUAUGCUUUCUUGUUUUUAACACUGGUCGUCUGGAAUUGUUAGUGGGAGACUCAAAAGUGAUUGCGAAAUUAAAAGUUAAUUUUAGUGCUUGAUAAAUGGUUUUAAAAGUUACUUUUGGUAAAAUAAUCAUAUUUCAUAACAGAUUUUGAAAAGUAAGGAAAUAAUAUCUUUUUAAAAUUUAAUUUUGAAAAUUUAAUUUUAUGUUUAAUGAAAUUCCAUAAAUAUCUUCACAUUUGUUACAUAAACUCAUAUUAUCCUUUUUUGAUAGGAGUAAUUAAUUAUACACACAAAAAUAUUUACCUACUUAAUUAAUAUAAUGUAAGUAUUUUAAAUAUAUGUGUGUGUAUGAGCGCGCGUAAGUGAUUCUCAAUCAUAUUAAAGUUAUGAAUAAGUUAAAAGACAAAAAAUAUAGACUCUUAAUGUUUUAUUGAAAUUUACGUUUUUUUUUCUUUUAAUUUAUUCCUAACUUUAAUAUGGUUAGGAUCAUUGAUUGGAGAUUCAUUAUAUAUAUAUAUUUGAAAUAUUCUAAUUUAAAAUCCUCGAUUUGUUAACACACAUUUGAAAUGUUUGAAUUCAGGAUUUUUAUUUGUUUAAACUGGAAAAGCUAUUAAAUCAAUAUAGUAUAAUAGUGUAAUGAUAUGACACUAUAAUACUAUAGGAUUUGAAUUAUAUGGCUCAGUUAUAUUUUUAAACUUUAAUAAAGUUUAGGAAACUAUAUAUAUACAUAUAUGUAAUAGUAUCAGUUACUUUUGCCAACGGUGAACUCAUCUACUCAUUAGAACCAUGAAAUUAUCACCUAAACCACCAAAAACUAGGAUGCUUCAAACGAAAUUUCUGUCAUAAGGUUAACUGACCAAGGAAAGAAUUUCCUGAGUCCAUGUAGGAGUGCACGCCGUACGAAAAUUUGUGCCAACCUCCAAAACUGAGCACGUAGUAUGGAUGAAAAUCUAUAAGAAAUUGAAAACAAACGAACAUACAAGAGAAACCAUUAAGAAACUAAAGCAUGGUGUGCCAAAAGGAGCACAGCCAAACCAAAAGCACCUAAGUUGAACCAAGAUAACAGAAGCCAUGCACUCAUACGAAGCCCACAUGCACCCAACAAAGCAACCUCUGAAGUCUAAACACAAUCCGUAUGCGCACGGGAAAUAUCAGCAGAGCAAGUCCAAGCAUGCCAACCGGUAUUAGGAAACCUAUCUACUAACUGAGUUAGCUUCUCUAUAUGUGAGGGUGGCCGUGGUUGGGUUCAGUUGAUUUUUUUUUUUUAAUUCUUUAUAAUGUUAAUUUUAUUUCCAGUUAUUCGGUUUCCAUUCCAGUUUUUUUAUUUAAUUCAUUAAAACGAUCACUUUUUUCUUGAAUUUUAAACCAAACCCAAACCAACAGCUCGGUUCGAUUCAUUCGAUCGCCAGUUGUUUCCCACCCCCUUGUAUAUUGCUUUUAGCGUUACGUCUAUUCUGAGGGCUAAGCCUCAUUCCGUCCCCCUGAUUAGGUGUUCUUCUUUCUCUUUUUAAUUAGUAAGACUCCCUCGUAACAUCGAGAGUUACUCAAAAUUAUAUAUAUAUAUAUAAUAAACUGUUGGGAAAUUGGUAGGGGUGUUCAGAAUCCAAUUCGAUCUGCUUAAUUCAAUCCGUAUAAAUCCGAUCCGUGAUUCAAGUGUAUCACUCGUAUACCCUAAGUUGACAAAAUACUUAUGCCGUCCACCAAUCCGUUAAUUGCCGUUUGUGAGCGCUGACAUCAUAAGGGUAAUCUAGUCUUUUUAAAAAAAUGACAUGUCAUCCCAUUUACCUAGUAAAACACGACAUGUCAUAUGAUAUAUUUUGAUAAAAAUGACAUGUCAUCCCAUUUAUCGGAUAAUUGUUAAUAAUUGCUAAAAAAAAAAACUACUUUAUAACCGAAUAUACUCCUCCAAAAUUUAACCUAAAUUAUUGAAGAUCUACUCCUCCAAGCUCAAACUUGAAUUUUUUAUGGUAUAAUAUGUAUAAUUGUAAAUAAUAUGUUGUUAAUAAUUUUUUAUGGUAUAAGAUGAAUAUUUUUUAUGAAUAAUUGUUAAUAAUAUGUACCAUUAAUAAUUCAUUUUUUUAAUAAAAAAAUGUAUUGUUAAUAACAAAAUAAAAAAAAAUUGUGUAUUGAAAAUUUACAUUAAUUUUCAAGGUAAAUUUAUUUUUUUACCUCAGUUUGAGUUUAAAGGGUAAAAUAGUCAUUUUGCUCAAAUUCUGUUAAGUUCUUAACGAUAGUAAACGAAAAGGUGGACGCCAGAACUCUUUUGUUAACUUAGGGUAUACGAGUGAUAUAAGCGAAAAGUGUUGUAGCACGUUUGAUACUGGUGUCAUUUAAGGGUAUAUGGCUGAUAAUUUCCCUAUAUAUAUAUAUAUAUAUAUAUAUAUAGUUAAAAAUUAUUACAAAUUUAAUUAAACAAUAUUAUAAAUGUGACAUUACAUAGUUACAUAAGCACUAUAACAUAUCUUAGCCAUUACCCAAUAAAAUAUUAAAUAAUUAAAUAAUCAAAUAUACAAAUAUAACUUGUAAAAAUUGUAAAACAAAAUAAAAGUAAAGUCACACGCACUAGCAAAACAAAGUAACAUAACGCCAAGUUACCAACAAUUUGCAAAGUCACCCAAAAGCAAAAUAACAUAAUGUCAAGUCACCAACAAUUUGCAAACAAAAAACCCUAAGCUUCUCCACCGUCACACGCAUUAGCAAAGCCCAAUACUAGUUCGAUACACUCUCGACACCGAUUUGAAGGACGUCGGCUGCGUGAUUCCAGCGAGAGCAAGCCAUCUUCUUCCCCGAGUCCAUCGAGCCACUUCACAAUCACUGGUUCCAGCCAAACAAUUGCACUAAUCACCACUUUUUGACAAGUGCAAUAGCCAUGGUGAAGGAUCAGAUUGUGUUUGGUAUCAGAAACUUCGCCAUUUCAAUUAAUUGUGGCUUUAUUUGAACAAUUAAUUUCGGUGUUAUAUUAAUGUAUUAUUGUAACUUUAUUUGAACAAUUAAUCUCGAUGUGCUAUAUUUUGAAACUUUGAAUGUAUUAUUUUAGUUUUAUUUAAACAAUUAAUUUGUUUAAAUUUUAUUCAAUUUUAAAUUUAAUUGGUAGUAAAAUUAUUUAUAUAUUAGAUUUUUUUUUUAAUUUCAUUAGUUCAUGGAUUGGGGAGAACUAAAAAUUUUUAAUUCGGAAACUAAUGCGCAAAAUGGUGGAUUGGAUAUGGAUUAAGUUAAAUCCGCAUCCGAUCCGCAGACAUAUGAAUUGGAUCUAGAUUGAGUCAAAUCCGCAUCCGAUCCGCAGAUGUAUGGAUUGAAUUUGGAUUGAGUUUAAUCAAUCCGUGGAUUGGAUUGGAUUGAAAAAUUAUAAUCCGUAAAAUUAUGGAUCAGAUAUGGAUUGAUGUCUAAUCCGUAAAAUCCUGAUCCGCGAACACCCCUAGAAAUAGGUGGGUGAAGCAGGGCCACAACUAAAAUAAAAUUGAAAGAAAAUAAAGAACAAGCACAAAAGAGGACACUAGAAAAUUACGUGGUUCGGCUUUUAGCUUCCGUCCACAAGCGAAAACAGAAGGAAAAUAUUUUACUAGUGAAGGAAUUACAAGUAUUGUAAUAUUUUAGCUCACUACCCUAAAUUCCAAUACACUCAAACUCUCAAAUCACUAUAACAAGAGCUUAUAAUUUCAAGCUCUCUUAACUCUCUCUCUAAAAUGCUAAAUCGCUCUCUCUCAAUGGAAUGAAUUUGCUCAUUCUCUUCGUUUCUAUUUACAGAGAAAGUUUUGGUACUAUUCAUCAAUUGUAUAUUAUUUUUAUUAUUUUAUUAAUUUUUUUCUUUGCCCUUUUCGGCCCGUUUCUAUUUUUUCCUUCUUUCUCCAUUUUUUUAUUUUGUUCCAGUCAAAGACGGAAGCAACACCUUCUUCUUCAAAAUAGGUUGGCCCACCUUCUAGAAGGGUGAUGCUCGCAUGCUAUAUUUUUAUCAUUCUCCCACUUGGAGAUUUGAUUGCGAGCCAAUCAUAUCUCCACACCAUCAUUUCUGCUUCGCCAUUUUCAUGUUGCCUACAUUUCUACUAGGCCACAAGAAUUCGUUCACUCCGCAGCUCAUGUAGGAUGGUUGUCAGGGUCUCCAUAUGCUUUUCCAUUCGUUCCAUCCGGUCAAACAUGGCUUUUUCCCGUGCUUCACUGGCUAUCUCCCUCAGCGUCACGGGAUCGUUAAGCCUCGUAUCACCCCCUUGUGCACUACUUCCUCCUGCCUCCAUUGUUUUUCCACUUGCUUUACUCCUCUUCUUGCUGUCAACAGAAGCUUUUUGCUCAGCUCCCCACAGAUGGCGCCAAAAUGUUGAUGCGAGAUUCUGGUUGUCCUCUUUCUACGACCAGGGUCUCUACUCGAUCAACUUCACCACGAUCAGGAUCUCUCCUCGUAAAGCUUCUUCUUCAGAGGUUCCUGCGUACACAGACAGGUCAGAGUACGCCGGUUGUUUCCCCGGCACAAACCCUCUGACGCUCAAGUCAGAAAUGAAGGUUCUGGGAAUGUUUGCCACGAAUCUUAUGGCUUCUUUUUUAAUCUCAGUUCUUAGAGCUCUCUUUUCUUAGUUCUAAUAGCAAAAAGUCUAACCCUUUUACCUUCGCUGGCUACCUUUUUAUAGGCUUCCUCUGAAUCUCGGUCUUCUGUAGUCCACGCCCAUUAUUCUCCCCACCCUCGGAUGUGGAUGCCCCAUUGUCGUCAUUGUGGGCGAAUGGGGAUGGACUUCGUGCCUUGAUUCUCGGAUAGGAAUGCACGUCUUGCCAACUGUCGUUGACCGGGUCUCCUCGCCUCGACCCCUAGCAGGAAUGGCCUUAUGCCUCUAACAGGAGUUUGUCCUCGUGAAUGGCAUAUUCGUGGACGAGCAGAAUAUUCCUGCUCUUGUUUCCCUGCUACCAGGCUCUUACAGGACAUACCUUUUCGUAGAACUCUGCCACCAAAUAUCUGCUCAUCACGUCUGGUCUCGUCGAAGUAUUUCCCUCAAACACCGGUCCCCCAGUUUCUGGUGUUGGGUAAUGUAAUGGACUAGCAGUAGAAACUCAAUGGUUCUUGCUCGCGUGGGACUUGAAAAGGCUGCCAAGAGUCGUGUCGCAUUUAAUUGCGGAUGCAGUGAUGUGGCAGAAAUCUACCCCUCCAUUUGAAUUUCAAACCUACGGUUGCAAGAUUCUCGGAAUAUGUGUCAUUAAAUGCUGGCAGCCCAAGAGUUUGCUUCUCAGUAAGAAAAACCCAAAAUCCUCAAACAUGAAUUCGCCAUUUUCUCCCUUCUUGUCUCUCCGGCGGAUGAACCUCGACAUUAAAAUUUUCAUCCCUGUCUCUCUCUAACCGAGUCCCUGCUUCAGGUAUUUCUUCUAUUUUCUCGGUCUUUGUUAGUUGUAGAUAAUUUCUUUUCUCUUUGCUUUGCUUGGGGUAGUAGUUGGUGGUGGUGUUUUGGUUAUAACAUAGGGAAUGUCGAAGGGUAAGGAGAAAGUCGUUGAGAUUGAUGACGACGAACUAGGUUUCUUGCCUAGUCUGCUCACCGAUCCUGCUUUUGACCCCGGGAUCCCCUUAGAACCCAUUAGGUCUAGUGUCGGGACUAGUGCUAGGAGGAUAUCCCCCCAAACAACCUCCACGAGCGGAAGUAGUGGUGAGGAGGGAUCUUCUGCCUCGGAAAACACCCUAAGUGAGGAUCAAGGAGGUGACCCUGGUGAGGGAUCCUCACCGGGAACAUUGCGACCAGAAGGGCGGAAUACAGCAGGAGGUAGAGCCUUGUCUCGGGAUUAUGCCAUUGAUUAUAUGACGUGCAAAUGACCUCCGACUUAGGUAUAGUAUUCCUGGUGAGAUACCUCUUAAGAUACCAGGAAAGAAGGAUACACCUAGCCGGCCUCCUAGGGGAUAUGUUACCCUGUUUCUGGAGAGCUUUAAGUAUGGGCUGAGGUGUCCCUUGCAACCUUACUUUGCCCGGAUACUUAACGGGCUAAAUCUGGCUCCUGGUCAGCUGAACCCCAAUCGGUGGAGAGUGCUCUCUGGUCUGUUCAUAUUGUGGGACAGAUGUUGCCAAAGCGAGCCCACAGUUGAUGCGGUGAAGCACCUGUACCAGCUGAAGAGCAGCCCUAAAGAUGCCGGCUGGUACUACUUCCAAUCUAGUACCAAGAGAAGGAAACCCAUAACUGAUCUUCCAACUGGUGGUGGUGGGACUUGGAAGAGGAAAUUCUUUUUUGCUGGGGAUCCUUGGGGUCAAGUUGCACAAAUAGACGGGAAGGAUUGUCGCGUCCCACCCCGUUUCACGGUCCCAGGUUGCCUGCUCGCUUUAGAUAUCUUGUAUCCAUAAUUGUUCUUGCUUUAUUGGUUUGUCUCUAACCAAGUGUCUGUUUGUGUUGUAGUUUCUUGGGGUGUUCAUUUCCCGCUCAAACCCGACGAGCUCAAACGGGUCGAGGCUGUACUGGCUCAUUCCUGCUCGAGUCGAGAGCUGAUAACUACCUAUAACCUGCUCGAGUCUUGUUUGGUGCGCCCCGGCCAUAAGAUGGAGGAUGCUGUGAUUGGGGCUCUGACUCGGAAGCGUCCACGACCUCAAACUGCGAAGAGGGACCAAAGCAAGGACGCUCCCACUGCGAAGCGGCUGAACAUUGUGCAAUAGGUUCCCCCCUUGAAGACUUUACCUCCUCCUCCUGCCAAAGUCGGAGAAACUAGUGGAGCAGCCACUGAUCCUGUUUCCUCUUCUCCACCUGUCGGGCCUAGAUCUCGUUUAUCUGACAGCCGAGCAGAACACUUGGGCUCCUAUCUCAACGAGCUUUCCAAACUCGUGAGCAAGAAGGACCUAGAGGACUUUGAUGGCUGUACCUUAGGCGAGCUGGUGGGAGCCAUGCAAUAUAACGCUUUCCAUCUCAGCUGCAUGACCACCUACUAUAAGGCCAAGGUUGGCCGUUAUGACAGGAAGAUGAAGGAGGACAUUCUGUCGGCGAUGACCAGAGCUGACGAUGCCGAGAAGAAAGCAGGGGAGCUGAAUCUCGAGAAUCUGAAGCUGAUAGAGCAAGAAUCUCUUGCUCAAGCAAAAGCCAUUACCCUCGAGGAAGAGCUGACCAAGGUCAAGGAGGAUCUUCAAAGGCAGAAGGCUACGUACGAGGCUCAGCUCGAAUCUCUCCACGAUUCCCACCGAGUUCAGGUUGAGAUCUUGGAGAAGGAGGCUGACAAUCAGUACGACCAGGGACUUCGGCAUUCUUAUCGUUGCAUCAUGGCCGUCAUCGGGAAGCAGCAUCCUGAUCUAAAGAUGGACGACCUUGCAGCUGGUAUCGCCCAACAUAUGGACGAGGAGGCUGCAAAGGAAGAUGCCGAAGGGGUGGAGCCAAUCGUAGUUGAGGAGGAAAACUCUCCUUCUCAUGCCAUUCAUGUUGAUGUGGGUGAGGCGAGCACCCCCGCGGACUCGACUGGUGAUACUCCCCCAGCACUUGAGGUGGACCAACCGACUGAGGCUGCUCGGCUUACGGACCCACCGUCCUCUUAAACAUAUUUCUUGUAUUGUAAUGAACAAUGUUUGUGAAGCUUAUCUGCUCUGUUUAAUUAUUAACAAAUUAAUAAAAAUAUUUUUGAUUACUUUCUUGUGUUGUAAUCACGAGUUACUUUUCCGUUUGAGAAUCUGCUCGUCUUCGUCUGGUCGAGCAGGCUCUGGCUUGGCAUAUGGUUUUGCCACAUGCCUUAGAAAAUUCUUCAAUGCUUGGGAUUCUGCUCGCCUUCGCGCGGUCGAGCAGAUCCUGGUACGCUUGGCUUCUGGUCUCGCCAUAAACAAGCUCUGAGACUUGAUGAGCCUUUGCAUGCCUUAGUAAAUUCUUCAAAGCUUGGGAUUCUGCUCGCCUUCUCGUGGUCGAGCAGAUCCUGGCACGCUUGGCUUCUGGUCUCGCCAUAAACAGGCUUUUGCGACUUGGUGAGCCUUUGCAUGCCUUAGUAAAUUCUUGAACAGUACAGUUGAUUGAAACUCCUCAUUGAUUCAUUUAUUAUUGAAUUCGGCUUACAUGAGAUUGCUUUGAAAUAAGAAAUAAAAAAUAGAAAACAACGGGCACGAACAGAAAUAACUUUAAAACAUGAACAAGUCUUACUAGGGAUAUUUCCUGAGGUGUGCCGCGCUCCAUGGGCGUUUCACCUCGUGGCCAUCCGUGCGAACCAGCUUGUAAACUCCGGGUCCAACUAGCUGCCAUUCCUGGCUUCCACUCGGGUAUCGAGGGAUGUUAUCUGCAUUGAUUCCCUUGCUACCGAGGAGUAACAGCUUCGUGCGAUUCUCUGGUCUCCCCGUACCACUCCAACUACCCCAUUCACCCGGUACUUGAGAGCAAGAUAAUGGUUGGACAGUACUGCUUUGCUCAUCCUCAGAAACGGCCGACCUAGGAUCAUCUGGUAAGGACCCUCUUCAUCAACCACCACAAAAUUCAGUAUCAUAGUCCUUUCUGUCAGGGAGCUUCCGAUCGUGAUAGGCAGCUCGACCACACCCAGGCGGACCAACUUUCCUCCUCCAAAUCCCUUCAAGGAGGUGUUGGUGCGCUCCAAUCUCAGGUCUGCUAUUCCCAUCUCCUCUAGAGUGGACUUGAAUAACACAUCAACUGAGCUUCCUGUAUCGACUAGUAUCCGGUCAAACUUCUUGCUAGCAACAGUGGCCUUGAUGACUAAGGCAUCCUCGUGUGGGUAUAAAAUCCAUUCUUCAUCCUCGUCUGUCCACAUGAUUGGCACCUGCCUGACUCUUGCUCGUUUGCCUGCCGGGGUGUUGAAGAAUACCUCUUUACUAGUCAUGGCAUAUCUAGCAUAGUUCUUCCUCGAUCUGUUGGAAUCUCCAGCCAAUGUUGGGCCCCCAGCAAUCACCCUUACUGCAGGCUGCUCGUGCCUCAAUUUUCUGUCACUCUGCUCCCCCUCAUAUGUGGAGGCCACCAUCGGGAAAGUCCCAUCUAUAAACUCGUCCAGGUAUCGAUUUCUCACCAAAUCUUCGACCUGGGUCUUGAGAUCUCUGCAUUCUGUUGUUGUAUGGCCAUGAGCGGCAUGGAACUUGCAAUAGCGUCCCCUAUCCCUCCUGCUGGGUAGCUUUGUUAUUGGGGCCGGGAGGUACAGUAAUCCCCGGUCCUUUAUGGACUCGUACACCUCGCCCAGGGGCAUCUUCGGGGGAGUAUACCGCACAUAGUCCUGGUUCUGGUCGAUCAUAUGCACUGCCCUUUCUCUGUUUGUGCCGUUCUGAAUUGGUGGGGGUGGCGGCGCUUCUGGUCUGCUCCCCCUAUCACCAUGGGGGUGUGGAUGAGAAUGACCAUAAGCGGGGUCAUGCCUUCUCCAAGGCUCCCUAGCUGGUGAACGAGGAGGUUGCGCCUUGCUGCGCUGAUAUUGUGGAGGCCUCUGAUGAGGCUGAUAAGCGGUGGCCCGACCUCCCGUACCACUGCCCCCGAGGAGUAACAGCUUCGUGCGAUUCUCUGGUCUCCCCGUACCACUCCAACUACCCCAUUCACCCGGUACUUGAGAGCAAGAUAAUGGUUGGACAGUACUGCUUUGCUCAUCCUCAGAAACGGCCGACCUAGGAUCAUCUGGUAAGGACCCUCUUCAUCAACCACCACAAAAUUCAGUAUCAUAGUCCUUUCUGUCAGGGAGCUUCCGAUCGUGAUAGGCAGCUCGACCACACCCAGGCGGACCAACUUUCCUCCUCCAAAUCCCUUCAAGGAGGUGUUGGUGCGCUCCAAUCUCAGGUCUGCUAUUCCCAUCUCCUCUAGAGUGGACUUGAAUAACACAUCAACUGAGCUUCCUGUAUCGACUAGUAUCCGGUCAAACUUCUUGCUAGCAACAGUGGCCUUGAUGACUAAGGCAUCCUCGUGUGGGUAUAAAAUCCAUUCUUCAUCCUCGUCUGUCCACAUGAUUGGCACCUGCCUGACUCUUGCUCGUUUGCCUGCCGGGGUGUUGAAGAAUACCUCUUUACUAGUCAUGGCAUAUCUAGCAUAGUUCUUCCUCGAUCUGUUGGAAUCUCCAGCCAAUGUUGGGCCCCCAGCAAUCACCCUUACUGCAGGCUGCUCGUGCCUCAAUUUUCUGUCACUCUGCUCCCCCUCAUAUGUGGAGGCCACCAUCGGGAAAGUCCCAUCUAUAAACUCGUCCAGGUAUCGAUUUCUCACCAAAUCUUCGACCUGGGUCUUGAGAUCUCUGCAUUCUGUUGUUGUAUGGCCAUGAGCGGCAUGGAACUUGCAAUAGCGUCCCCUAUCCCUCCUGCUGGGUAGCUUUGUUAUUGGGGCCGGGAGGUACAGUAAUCCCCGGUCCUUUAUGGACUCGUACACCUCGCCCAGGGGCAUCUUCGGGGGAGUAUACCGCACAUAGUCCUGGUUCUGGUCGAUCAUAUGCACUGCCCUUUCUCUGUUUGUGCCGUUCUGAAUUGGUGGGGGUGGCGGCGCUUCUGGUCUGCUCCCCCUAUCACCAUGGGGGUGUGGAUGAGAAUGACCAUAAGCGGGGUCAUGCCUUCUCCAAGGCUCCCUAGCUGGUGAACGAGGAGGUUGCGCCUUGCUGCGCUGAUAUUGUGGAGGCCUCUGAUGAGGCUGAUAAGCGGUGGCCCGACCUCCCGUACCACUGCCCGAGGCAUGGUGGUCCCUCCUCUUGAUCGGCCCAUUUCCUGGUACGACUCUCUUUUCUUUCCUCUUCAACCCUUCUAGCUGGUCUGUCUUGAUCCGUACUGCCUUUUCUUCCUCGAUUUCUAUGUCUCUUUUGGCCUGCUCGUAAGCAGUCGAAUAUGUCUGAAUAGCUGGGCUUCUCAAGUUGUACCACAACCGUCCUAUCUUCACUCCUUCUUUCAGUCCCCUCAGUGCCUGAGGAUGGUUAAAGGCCCCCAAGUCGAGGACAGCACGAUGGAACCUUUUGAUGAAUUCCCGAAGGGUUUCCUCCUCUCUCUGCUUCAUGCUCGUCAGCUCCAUCAUAUCGUCUUCCGGUGCCAUUGCCACACGAAACUGCUCUACGAAUUCCUGGCACAUCUGCUCGAAGGUUUUAAUGCUCCCCCGAGGAAGCUUCUUGUACCACUCGCGUGCUCGUCCCUCUAGUGAUAGUGGGAACACCCUGCAUCUUUGGGCUUGAGAUAGUCCUUGCACCCCGGUUAUGUCGUUGAAGCGCUCUAGGUGCACCAACGGGUCCGUUCGCCCCGAAUAUAUGAGGUCUGGGAGGCGAAAAUCUCUUGGGAUGACUGUCCUCAUGAUCUCUGCCGAGAGCGGUGAUUCUCCGUCCAGCAUUAUCCUCCAACCAGGAGCUCUGCUCCUUCCUUGCAUGUCAUCAAUUACCUGCGCUAGUCUGCGCACUUCUUCCUCCAGCUGCACUGCACGACUAGGGUCACGUGCUGCAACUUGAUCCCGCUCUUGCUCUACAUCAUGUAAGUGUUGCCUGAGCUCUGUUUCCUCUGCAUUUGCCACCCCGUCGUCCUCAUCAAAAAUCUGUCUUGCCGGGGAUUACUCUUCCUCUCUAUGAAUUUCUCCCCGUAGAGAUAAGUUACCUCUCUCACCACCAAAUCUCCUGGUGGUUUGACUUCUCCUCGUACUAUCGUGACCUGGUGCCACUCCACCACCUCUCACCCUUUCCUCCUGGGUUCUCCUUCGUUCACUCCGCAGCUCAUGUAGGAUGGUUGUCAGGGUCUCCAUAUGCUUUUCCAUUCGUUCCAUCCGGUCAAACAUGGCUUUUUCCCGUGCUUCACUGGCUAUCUCCCUCAGCGUCACGGGAUCGUUAAGCCUCGUAUCACCCCCUUGUGCACUACUUCCUCCUGCCUCCAUUGUUUUUCCACUUGCUUUACUCCUCUUCUUGCUGUCAACAGAAGCUUUUUGCUCAGCUCCCCACAGAUGGCGCCAAAAUGUUGAUGCGAGAUUCUGGUUGUCCUCUUUCUACGACCAGGGUCUCUGCUCGAUCAACUUCACCACGAUCAGGAUCUCUCCUCGUAAAGCUUCUUCUUCAGAGGUUCCUGCGUACACAGACAGGUCAGAGUACGCCGGUUGUUUCCCCGGCACAAACCCUCUGACGCUCAAGUCAGAAAUAGGGGUUCUGGGAAUGUUUGCCACGAAUCUUAUGGCUUCUUUUUUAAUCUCAGUUCUUAGAGCUCUCUUUUCUUAGUUCUAAUAGCAAAAAGUCUAACCCUUUUACCUUCGCUGGCUACCUUUUUAUAGGCUUCCUCUGAAUCCCGGUCUUCCAUAGUCCACGCUCAUUAUUCUCCCCACCCUCGGAUAUGGAUGCCCCAUUGUUGUCAUUGUGGGCGAAUGGGGAUGGACUUCGUGCCUUGAUUCUCAGAUAGGAAUGCACGUCUUGCCAACUGUCGUUGACCGGGUCUUCUCGCCUCGACCCCUAGCAGGAAUGACCUUAUGCCUCUAACAGGAGAUUCGUCCUCGUGAAUGGCAUAUUUGUGGACGAGCAGAAUAUUCCUGCUCCUGUUUCCCUGCUACCAGGCUCUUACAGGACAUACCUGUUCGCAGAACUCUGCCACCAAAUAUUUGCUCAUCACGUUUGGUCUCGUCGAAGUAUUUCCCUCAAACAACCUUUGUAUCCAAAUAGCUUCCUUGCAAGCUUGUGUAGCUGCCAUGUAUUCUGUGUUUGUUGUAGAUAGAGCCAUAACGGUCUACAGUUUUGAAACCCAACUUACAGCAGCUCCCACAAGUAUAAACACAUAACCAGUAGUGAAUUUUCUUUUAUCAAUGUCUCCUGCAAAAUCUGAAUCCACAUGGCCCCUAAUAGUAAAUUCUGAUCCUCCAUAACAUUAUGCAACAUCGGAGGUUCCUCUGAUAUAUCUCAGAAUCCUCUUCACAGUUUUCCAAUGCUCUCCACCAGGAUUCGCCAUGUAUCGACUGACCGCUCUCACUGCUUGUGUAAUGUCUGGUCUUGUACAAAUCAUAGCGAACAUCAAACUUCCCAUUGCUGAUGCAUACGGUACUCGAGACAUGUCCUUCCUCUCUACUUCAUUGCUAGGAUACAUACUUGAGAAUAACUUGAAAUUAACAGGAAGUGGGGUAGAAAUUGGCUUACAAUCUUGCAUGUUGAAGGGCCGCAAGAUUUUCUUCAAGUAAUUCUUCUGAGAAAGCCAAAUUUUCCUGUUAUUUAUGUCUCGGUGAAUUUGCAUCCCUAAAAUCUUGUUUGCUGGUCCUAAGUCCUUCAUUUCAAACUCCCUAGCCAAUUGUGCCUUCAAUUCUUGGACUCAAACUUUGUUGGGGCCUGCUACCAACAUGUCAUCCACGUACAACAGAAAAAUGAUGAAAUCAUUAUCUUCAAACAUCUUGUAAUAUGCACAAUGGUCUGAACUGAGUCUGUUGUAUCCAAGGCUCAUGAUGAAGGAAUCAAAUCUCUUAUACCAACACCUCAACACCUGUUUGAGACCGUAUAGAGAUUUGUUCAACCUGCAAACCAACUUCUCCUUUUCCUUUUCAGCAAAACCUUUUAGUUGGAGCAUAUAACUUUCUUCAUCAAGUUCUCCAUGAAGAAAUACAGUUUUCACAACUGACUGCUCUAGAUGUAGGUCAAAUGUAGCAUACAUCGCCAAGACUAUUCUGACUAUCGUGAGUCGAACCACUGGAGAAAAUAUUUCGUUAAAGUCAAUACCUUUUUUUUGAGUAUAUCCUUUCACCACCAAUCUUGCACGAUACCGCUCCACUUGGUCAUUGCCAUCACGUUUGAUCUUGUAGACUCAUUUGUUACCAAUGGCUUUUUUUCUUGUGUAGAGCUUCAAUUUCUUCAUGCAUUGCUGUCAUCCACAAAGUAACAUAUGAGCUGUUUAAAGCUUCAUGGAAAGUUGAUUGCUCUCCAUCCUCUAUUAGAAGACAGUAUGCAACAUUGAUCUCUGUGACAUACUCUGAGUUCCACUGGCGGUAGUCUCUCACGAGUUGACCAACAAACUUCUGGAGCCUUGGACUCAACUGAUUCUUGUUCCUCGUGCUCUGGUGCUGCUUCAGAAGAAUCUGAAUCUUUUUUUCCAGAUUAUUUUUCACAUACACCGGUACAGUCUCUGACUUUUCUUUUACAGUGCUAUCAUCAUCAUCUCUCAUUUGCAUUUGAUCUUCUACAAAGAUAACAUCUCUGCUGAUGACGAUCUUGUGGGCAGUGGUGUCCCACAAACGAUACCCCUUUACUACAUCAGCAUAUCCCAAGAAGAUACACAUCCUAAAUUUUGGAUCUAACUUUGUUCUUUUUUGGGUAUUGUACAUCACGUACACAGGACAUCCAUAUGCAUAUAGGUAGAAGUAAUCAGCUGGCUUUCCAGUCCACAUCUCCAUAGUUAUUUUCAACCUAAUUGCUGUGGAUGGCGACCGAUUUACUAUAUAACAGACAGUUUUGGCUGCUUUUGCCCAGAAUGAAUUAGGUAGACUAGCAGUCCUCAACAUAGCUCUAUCCUUUCUGUAAGAGUCCUGUUCAUCCGCUCUGCUACUCCAUUUUGUUGAGGAGUAUAUACCACUGUAAACUGCCUCUGAAUGUCUUCUUGCUUACAGAAAGCAAGAAACUCGCUGUUUGUAUAUUCUCCACCAUUAUCUGCCCUUAUGCACUUGAUCAUUUUGCCAAAUUCAAGUUCCACCCAUGCUUUGUAUUCUUUAAACACUGCAAAUACAUCUGACUUUUUCUUGAUUGGAUACACCCAACAUCUCAUGGAAUAAUCAUCAAUGAAAGUCACCAUGUACUUUGCACCUCCCAUGGAUAUGUAUGGGGAUUCCCAAAUAUCAGAGUGAACUAAGUCUAGAAUGCAUUUACUUCUAGCAAUAGAUCUGCUGAACUUUAAUCUAUACUGCUUACUUGUAACACAAUGCUCGCAAAAUGGUAAGCUUACCGAUUUGAGCCCCGGAAGCAAUUUUCGCUCAGAGAGAAUCUUCAAACCUUGUUUUGACAUAUGGCCAAGUUUGAGAUGCCACAUCAUCAUUGACUCUUCUUUAUUUGAUGCGAUACACUCAUCAACCUCAUGUAAUGUUUCUCCUUUAAGCAUGAAUAGAUUAGCACCGAUAUUUUCUGCCUUCAUCAAUACAAGCACUCCUUUAACAAUAUUCAUGAUCCCAUUUUCUACAUGAGUUUUAUACCCAUGAUUAUCCAUUUGUCCCAAAGAUAAUAGAUUCUUAUUCAAGCCUUUUACAUGUCGUACCUCCCUAAUUAUGUGAAUUGUACCAUCAAACAUUUUUAUUUUGAUAGUACCAAUACCAAUGAUCUCCAAGGCAUGAUCAUCUCCCAUAUAUACAGAUCCUCCUGAGAUAGGUUCAUAUGUGUGGAAUUAUUCUCUCCGAGAGGUCAUGUGCCAGAUAGCUCCUGAGUCUAUAAGCCAGACAUUAGAUAGUCGUUUUCUACAUUCUGAAAUAGUUGUUGCCUCACUGUAGAGAAUUUCGCCAUCAUCCAAGGUACUUGCUACACACCCCUGAGCAUUUGAUGACUCAGGUUCUUUGCCCUUUUUUCUCUUCUGGUUACUCCAACACUCUUUCUUGACUUGCCCUUUCUUACUACAGUUGCAACAUUUAACAUUCUUCUUACUUCUGAUUUUGAUCUACCAUGAUUGUGACUCCCACUGACGUUCUGUUGAUCUCCCUCUCGUCACCGAUAGCGCUUUCGCUUACUGUAAAUUUGCUUGUCUGUUUUCCUUAUUUUUCCGCCUGCUCUCCUCAUUUAAUACGGAGGCUACAAUAUCGUCGAAAACCAGACUGUUCGCUGGAUUGUUGUUCGUCAGGUUGAUGAUGAGUUGAUCAUACGAAUCUGGUAGAUUUUGAAGUAGAAGCUCUGCACUUUCAUUUUCCUCUAUAUUAUGACCCAACGUUGUGAGUUGUGAAAAUAGAGUUUUCAAGGUGUUGAUGUGAUUGGUCACCGUUGUAGAUUCCGUCAUUCGAAGAGUAUAGAGUUUUUUCUUCAAGAAAAUUUUGUUGUGUAGUGACUUGGCCUCGGACAAUUUUGUGAGAGUAUCCCAUAUUUCCUUCGCUGUAUUUUUCUCUGCCACACUGGAUAAUACUCCAUCCACAAGUGCCAAGUGUAGAUCAGAAAUGGCGUUGUCAUCUAUCUCGUUCCACUUGUCAUUAGUUAUCUCCAUGGGCCUUUCUUCAAUUGCUGCCAAGUAAUUAUUUUUCCUUAAUACAACUUUCAUCUUCAUUUUCCAUAACGAAAAAUUAUUUACGUUAAACUUCUUAAUUUCAUACUUUACCGCCAUUUUUUUGAUAAAUAUUGUACAUAAACUAGUGUAUCACCUUGAAUAGUUGUGAGUAUGUGUGAAUAUGCACACCAAGAAAGUUUCCAGGAAAGACUGGAGGGGUCACAACAGUCCCACUUAAAACCCAAACUCCUUAGGUUCUUAUCGCCUUUGUGACAGAACUUUCCUAGACAUGUAAAAACCACACAGUUGUUUUACUCACACUACUAUUCCCUGCUUUGCACCACAAAAUUCUUGGAUUGCUCCCACCGUUUUUCGUGAACAGUACCGUAUCUAUGAAUAAUGCCAUAUACGUGAACAACGCCUGACUCCAAAGAAUACAACCAAUAGCUCUGAUACCACUGUUAGGAAUUUGGUGGGUGAAGCAGGGCCACAGCUAAAAUGAAAUUGAAAGAAAAUAAAGAACAAGCACAAAAGAGGAUACUAGAAAAUUACGUGGUUCGACUUUUAGCCUACGUCCACGGAUGAAGACAGAAGAAAAAUAUUUUACUAGUGAAAAAGAAUUACAAGUAUUGUAGUAUUUUAUCUCACUACGUAAAAUCCCAAUAUACCCAAACUCUCAAAUCACUAUAACAAGAGCUUAUAAUUUCAAGCUCUCUUAACUCUCUCUAAAAUGCUAAAUUGCUCUCUCUCAAUGUAAUGAAUUUGCUCAUUCUCUUCGUUUCUAUUUAUAGAGAAAGUUUUGGCACUAUUCAUCAAUUAUAUAUUAUUUUUAUUAUUUUAUUAAUUUUUUUUCCUUUACCCUUUUUGGGCCGUUUCUAUUUAUUCCUUCUUUCUCUAUUUUUUUUUUCUUUUUCCAGUUAAAGACGAAAGCAAUUCCUUCUUCUUCAAAAUGGGCAGGCGCACCUUCUAGCACCUAAGGGUGGUGCCCGCAUGCUAUAUUUUUGUCAUAAAUGUAAGUUCUUCAAAAAGGUCAAUAGCUCCAUUGACAUCAACUAGUGUAGAUUUACAUUAUCAUGGAAAGCUGACCUGCUCAUUUCUGCAACACUAGCCAUCCGUCCGGCUUUCUUCAUAAUCGAUUCCAGAUCUGCCUCUCUUCUGGAUCUUUUAGUAAGAUGAUUAGAGAUUACGUCAUCUAUUUGCUUCGUACGUUCUUCCAUUUGCUUCUUACAUUCCUCUAUUUGCUUCUUACGUUUCUCUAGUUCUGCUGUUCCUUCUUCAACCUCUCGAGCAAGCUCAGCUUUGUUGGCAUGAAGCUUGUAAAUGGCGCUGUCCUUGUAUACUUGAGCAUUAAAUCCGUAAUUAGCGUCCGCUAUACUCUUCAAAUGUUCAAAGGCAAACUCAAUUUUAUGCCCUCCAUGUUGCACUAACUUGAGUCGAUGCCACCAAGUGAACAUUAAUUCAUCUGUGAUAUCUAUUAUGCGAGUUUCGCACAGGCCAUUCACAACACCGCAUAAUAACACAAGGAAAGCCUUCAUUAGACCGGGGCUUAAAUCACAACUGUCACUAAUAAUAUCCCCAAAUUUUUCAAACAACGUUUUGCAAACUGAAAUAAAGUCUUUGUAAUCAGCAUCAUCAGAAAGAAGUUUGUCAGGAUUCAAGAUUUCGUCCAUUGUCUUUGGUGCACUUGAUUUGAUCUUUACUAUCAACUGUAACAAGGUCUCAUCCGAAUAAGGAUAGUUUUCCAGAAAACUAUGGUUACCUUCAGUACUGCUGGUUUUUGAUAAAGUCUCAACUGAUGCAUUCUAUUUCCUUGUCUAUGUCCUCCACAAUGGCCUCUAUUUUGUUUUUCUCCUCUUCCGUAAUAGAUUCAACUUCAUCUAUAUCCUCUAGAAUGGCCUCUAUUUUCUUUUUCUCCUCUUCCUUAUCAGAAAUCUCUCUAUUGUUAAUUCUUAACUGUACAUCUCCACGCUUUCCCAUUAGACAAAGUAUCACCUAUAUAUAAAGCAAUAUGAAAUUAGGUAUAUUGAUUAAGCUAGAUUAGAAAGAUGCUAAUAAUGAUAAUUGAUUUUCUCAAAUAUAAUAAGUGUACCUCAGGUAGCAUGCAGUUAAAUUCUGCAACGAAGUCACAUUCUACACAAUAGUAAAUGCAUUCUUGUCGGUCUCUUUUCUCCUCGCAAAUAUCACAGAAUUCCUCUUCAUAAUCAUCAUCAACAAAUUUAUCCAUGAGGGUGAGGGAGUGAUGGUGACUCUCAUGUUGAAUAGCCUUUGGUAAAGGAGCACACCAGAGAUGGAUGGUGAAAUCGCAUUUCACACAACGUAUAUAGUGAGCACUGGGGCUCAAGUUGUAGUUGGCUUCACAUCUAGGAUUGCCAUACAACUUCUCAAAAAUGGUAAGCUUGUGCUGAUGGUCUUUGACUAUUAGUGAAAUCAUUGGUUGCAGUCAGGAUCCAGAUAGAAGUUAUCACAAUCGUCACAGUGGUAAGCGAAGCCAUUGAAAUAUUUAUUACAAGCACUGCAUUGAUGGCUUGGUACAGAAAAAUGUAGAGUGAGAACAUGUUGAUGGAAUCGAUGUUGGAUCUCUCUCGGCAACUCAGCACAAGAUUUGAAAUGAUAAAGUUUGCAGGAAUCACAGCUAUAUGCUGGCCCUUGCGCUGGUCUAUCACAUCCAUAGCAAAAUUGAUCAUCAUUAUCCUCAUUUUCACAUAGAACAAAGACAUGUGGGUGGCUGAAAUGUUUCAGCAGUUCUCCUCUGUCACUCUGCUCUAACGUUUUGACACCACAUUCCACAUGAAAACUGACUUUACAUUCCAAACAACUGAGAAAGGGAGAACCCAGAAGAAUGUCAAAACCACAUGUACUGCAUUCUCUCCUUUGAGAAGACAGAUUGACAUUUAUUAGAGUAACAAGAUGCUCAUGACCACUGUACUGUAUGUUUGGAGUCAGAGAUCUGGCGCAUUCAAUAUGCAACUCAAAUUUGGGCUCAUCACAAAUAAAGCACUGGUAAAAUUUGUCUAAACAACCCUGGGAACCACAGGCUUGACAAGAAGACAUUUUCCUAUAAUCACUGUCCAUUACGAGAUUCACAUCAUGGGAGGGAUGAAGAGGAUGUCUGAUAGGGGACGGCGGAUUUUUAGAGCAUGAUUUAUGGAUGUACAAGUUACAUGGGGUGCAGCCAUAGAUUGGACCACUGAUGUUGUUGGAGUAGCAUAACUCGCACCUCGUACUAUCUUCCUCUAUGAGGGUCAAGGGAUCCAAAUGACUGGAAUCAUAUUUCAUGAGCAUUAAAGCCAAUUGGUAACCAAUCUCAAAACUUCACACAUCACAACAGAACUUAUAGGGAUUCUGUAUCUGUGAUCGCUCAAUCAUAUGCUUGUAAGGUAGAGUACUACUAGAGUAUUUUUCUACGAGGUGUAGAGAGCCGUGUGGAUGAAAGGUGAUUUGGAUCUCAUGGGGUAAUUCAACACAUGAUUUGUGGAAAAGAGGAGUGUUUGGCCAGCAUAGUUUGCAAAAAUAAUAACUGCCUUCAAAAAACUCGCUGCCACAAGGAAAGCAACAUUUGUUUUCAAACUUGCACUUGCCACAAACAUAGGAUUCAUGUUCAUUCAUGCACAAAGGGUCACCACACCCAUAGCAAUUAAGCUUUCCACCUUCAUUCUCAUACAGUACUAUUGGAUGCUUGUGCAGUAUAUAGUUCUUAAUCUCCUUUUCUGUUUCCCCUUCCCCAGUUUCUGUCCCUAAAAACAUGUACGUAUUUGCAAUUAUUAGUGGAUAAGCUCAAGUUUAUCAUCAUUUUCCUUAUUUUUAAUUAGUUUUAUUUAACCUACUUUUCUCUUUGGGAGACUAUUUUUACUCAAAAAGCACCCGUAAACUAAAAGUUAGGAUGAGUUUUUGGUGAUCUUCCGAGCACUACUUUAUUUUUUAUGCAUAAAAUAUGUCAAGAAAUAUUGUCACAAUUAGUCGAAACAUACAUGUGACAAGAAGUGAAUGACAAGAGAGCAGUGCUCUUGGAGCAUCAAAGAUUUUUUUUCUAUUUGUUGCUCAUAAUUUGAGACUCAUAAACUGUUCAAUAGAUAUAAUGAAAUGAAAUUUAUAAAAAAAAAAAGAAGAAAUUAAUCUAAGUGACUCACUACUUUGGGGAGACGGAUCAAUAACAGCGUUCUCAUGUAUAUAUGACUCAUGCAUCUAUUUUUAUUGUUUCUUUUCAAAAAUUGUUACUAACCAUAUCAUAUGAAUUUGGAUCCUCUCCUUUGAAAAGAUUUUUGAUGUUCCUUAUUCAUUCAUUAUUUGCCAUGUGUGUAUGCAUAUAAUUAUGAGUAGUUGAAGUAUAUACACAAUAAGGAGUAGAAAGAAAACAAUAAUUAAUGCUCUAUGAGCACCCAAGAAUCUUCUCAUGUCCUAACUUAAUUUUUCCUAAAUAUUCGUAGAAGAUUUUGUCAUAUCGCAUUGAAGAAAUUAUGACAUAUUUUUAAUAGAAAAGCUUAAUCUGGGCAAAGAAAAAGCUCCAGGACUUACCUUUAUCAGCAAAUUCCUCCAUUUCGGUGGAGUCGGAUAUAUUAGUAAGUCUUUUUUAUUCACGUACUAUCAACAAUUGAUCUAUUAACAAUUCUUCCUUGCACAUCUCCCAACUCCCCCUCCAACGAACAAAUUACCUAAGAAGCAACCCAAAAAAAAAAAUGUAACUUAAGAGAUGGGGAUAAACUAUAAUUUAGCCAAAUAAUGUUUCAACAACAAAUGGGAUUAAUGGUGGAUCAUAAAUCUAGUCCAUACAACCUUGAAGCCCAAAUGAUCUUUAACCUAGCUAGCCCAUAGAAGCUUCUUUAGGUAAUGAUUUGUGGUGUUAAAUAUGGUAAAUUGGUAAAUAGAAUAUGUGGUGUUGAGUAUGAUUGUUUGGUUUGAUGUGUGGAUUUUUUUUUAAUAAUUAAGUUAAUGUAUGUUUGUGAUUAAGUUGCAACAAUUAUAAAUACCUCCUCUUUCAGUUAAUCAUCUCA
This 42043-nucleotide long non-coding RNA is filed under the name Citrus sinensis (sweet orange). RNAcentral's name for it is "long non-coding RNA (CSIN_LNC005104)". Lineage: Eukaryota; Viridiplantae; Streptophyta; Magnoliopsida; Sapindales; Rutaceae. The record is from RNAcentral.